RNAcentral lists this small RNA (61 nucleotides) under Arabidopsis thaliana (thale cress). Its description in RNAcentral is "ATSL293450". Lineage: Eukaryota; Viridiplantae; Streptophyta; Magnoliopsida; Brassicales; Brassicaceae. The record is from RNAcentral.
UAUAUGGGCACAUGAUUGGUUUACUAUACUUUGAUUCUUUCGAUACCAAAUAGUUUUACAU